AUUGAACGCUGGCGGCAUGCCUUACACAUGCAAGUCGAACGGCAGCACGGGUGCUUGCACCUGGAGGCGAGUGGCGAACGGGUGAGUAAUACAUCGGAACAUGUCCUGUAGUGGGGGAUAGCCCGGCGAAAGCCGGAUUAAUACCGCAUACGAUCUACGGAUGAAAGCGGGGGACCUUCGGGCCUCGCGCUAUAGGGUUGGCCGAUGGCUGAUUAGCUAGUUGGUGGGGUAAAGGCCUACCAAGGCGACGAUCAGUAGCUGGUCUGAGAGGACGACCAGCCACACUGGGACUGAGACACGGCCCAGACUCCUACGGGAGGCAGCAGUGGGGAAUUUUGGACAAUGGGCGAAAGCCUGAUCCAGCAAUGCCGCGUGUGUGAAGAAGGCCUUCGGGUUGUAAAGCACUUUUGUCCGGAAAGAAAUCCUUGGCUCUAAUACAGUCGGGGGAUGACGGUACCGGAAGAAUAAGCACCGGCUAACUACGUG
RNAcentral lists this ribosomal RNA (486 nucleotides) under uncultured bacterium. RNAcentral's name for it is "partial 16S ribosomal RNA". It matches the Rfam family "Bacterial small subunit ribosomal RNA", at positions 30 to 507 of the family's 1533-position model. The record is from RNAcentral.